GAUCAUGGCUCAGGAUGAACGCUAGCUACAGGCUUAACACAUGCAAGUCGAGGGGGCAGCAUGUUGGUUGCUUGCAACCAAUGAUGGCGACCGGCGCACGGGUGAGUAACGCGUAUCCAACCUACCCUUGUCCAUCGGAUAACCCGUCGAAAGGCGGCCUAACACGAUAUGCGGUUCACAGCAGGCAUCUAACGUGAACGAAAUGUGAAGGGAGAAGGAUGGGGAUGCGU
RNAcentral lists this ribosomal RNA (230 nucleotides) under uncultured bacterium. RNAcentral's name for it is "partial 16S ribosomal RNA". It matches the Rfam family "Bacterial small subunit ribosomal RNA", at positions 15 to 236 of the family's 1533-position model. The record is from RNAcentral.